RNAcentral lists this ribosomal RNA (450 nucleotides) under uncultured bacterium. RNAcentral describes it as "partial 16S ribosomal RNA". It matches the Rfam family "Bacterial small subunit ribosomal RNA", at positions 354 to 796 of the family's 1533-position model. The record is from RNAcentral.
GUGGGGAAUAUUCCGCAAUGGACGAAAGUCUGACGGAGCAACGCCGCGUGAGUGAUGAAGGUUUUCGGACUGUAAAGCUCUGUUGUUUAGGACGAAAGUGCCUGUUGCAAAUAGUUACAGGUAUUGACGGUACUGAACGAGGAAGCCACGGCUAACUACGUGCCAGCAGCCGCGGUAAUACGUAGGUGGCAAGCGUUGUCCGGAAUUAUUGGGCGUAAAGAGCAUGUAGGCGGGAAUCUAAGUCUGUUGUGAAAAUGCGGGGCUCAACCCCGUAUUGCGAUGGAAACUGGGUUUCUUGAGUGCAGGAGAGGAAAGGGGAAUUCCCAGUGUAGCGGUGAAAUGCGUAGAUAUUGGGAGGAACACCAGUAGCGAAGGCGCCUUUCUGGACUGUGUCUGACGCUGAGAUGCGAAAGCCAGGGUAGCGAACGGGAUUAGAAACCCGUGUAGUCC